This is an RNA transcript of Cephus cinctus (wheat stem sawfly), 2291 nucleotides long. It is a transcript of the gene named alpha-1A adrenergic receptor, with no coding region annotated. The record is from RefSeq and is a predicted model, not a curated record. The transcript has 10 exons. NCBI's taxonomy places the organism in Eukaryota, Metazoa, Arthropoda, Insecta, Hymenoptera, Cephidae.
UUCAAUAAGGCGCGAAAUUUAAAUUUAUAUGAACUCUUCUAUCCGAUUCCAUUGCAAUGAACUUUUACGUACGACGCUCGCCAGUUCUCAUAAUUAUUCGUCUGCUAGGCUUCGCGGUGAAUCCUGCGUCGGUAUUUCUCGUACGUUUUCGAGGGUAGUGCGUAGGCUGCCCUCCGAACGCUCGCUUUACCAGACUGUACGUUAGAACGUCUCGAAACCCCGGUAUGAACGUAUCGUCGUACCAUCGGUCCAACGUAUGGCUUUCUUGUUCCCAUUGUGUUGCCUGAGUGAUAUCCUUUGUCAUUUAUUUUCAAAGGCACUAGGAUUUUUCUGUUUCUAUUCUCACUGCUGAGGUGAAAACUCUCUGGGGAUUGCACGAGUAGAAAAUGAUAAAGUGGAUAAGAAAACGAUAAUUUACUUCUCUCCGGUAUAACAAAUGUUAGUUGAAGUAGGAAAGAUCAAAGGACGAGCUCAAGAGUCUCAAGCUUCCUCGAUUACCUGAAUAUCCUCAAAAAAUGGAGCCAGUGUCUUCUGUUAUCUUGGGACACGGAGUAUGGACGGUCUGAAGAAAUGGAUCAAAAAUGAAAAAUAUUUCCUGUAUAAAACAGCCAUCCGCGAUGAGGAUACCCAUUUUUUGGGAGACGCGCGAAACGUCCAGGAUGGAGGAGAAUCUUUUAGGUAUUGGGAUCUUUACAUAAGAAAGCUCGACGGGACUUCAUAAAAACGUCAGGCAACGUUGGGAUGACACCGGAUACCUUUGGGAAAUUUUCGUGGAAGGUUCGAGCAAAAGGACGAGGGUUCUAAGCGGUUUCUAAUGGUAGAUUCACUGAUGAAAGGUUAACUUUUCAAUAUGACGAGAUGUGAAUAUAUCGAAAGGUUCAAUGAUAACGAAAGCCAAAGAAAUUAUCAAGGUUACGAGGAUGCCUUUAAUACGAAUCGAACGAUUAUCGAUAAGUUGGAUAUUAUCGAAUUCAUGAAUCUCAGCUGUUCCUCGUCGACCGUUAUCAAUCCUAAUGAGAAUUUCUGGCUGCUGGUCGUGAAGGAACCUCUCCUAGCACUUGAGGCUUUGGCUCUCCUCAGUGUAAUUCUUCUUACCGUGGGUGGAAAUACACUAGUCAUAGCUGCUAUAGCGUCCAGUCCCAGUCUGCGGGCGCCAACGCAUUCUCUUAUAGUGAAUCUGGCAUGUGCGGAUCUUAUACUGGGAUUAACAGUGCUACCAUUAUCAGCUAGCAGAGAACUCAGAGGAAGCUGGGGUCUGGGACCACUUACUUGUUCCUUGUGGGCAGCACUCGAUGUUCUCUGUUGUACAGCCAGCAUUCUGUCGCUAUGUGGAAUUUCAGUAGACAGGUACAUCGGUGUGUCCAGACCACUCUCUUACUCUCGUGUGGUCACGACAAGAAGGGUAAGGGCGACUAUAGCUACUAUUUGGCUUUUGGCACUGGCCAUUAGUGCGGGUCCACCCUUAGGAUGGGCACAGGAAAGUGUCUACGUAUCGGAAACCAGAGAGUGUAACGUGAAUAAACAGCUUGGCUAUGUCAUCUUUUCUACCUGUGGAUCAUUUUAUCUACCUGCCCUUGUCAUCUUGGUACUAUACGGACUGGUUUAUAGAGCAGCCGCUAGACGAUCUCAAUUCCUUGAUGCAGGAGCCGUGACCAGGAGUCAAGUGACACUGCGUAUACACCGAGGUAACAAGCUUACCAAAAGCAAUGUACGUAAAGAUGGAUCAAGUACUAUAUUGGUAUCUCGCCCUGGUCCACCUAGACGCUGGGCAUCGCAAGGACGUGGCGGCCCACUUUGUCGUGGUCCAGCUGCGAAAUUUCGAAGACAGAAAAAAGCUGCAAAAACAUUGGGAAUUGUUGUUGGCGGUUUUCUUCUAUGCUGGUUUCCAUUCUUCGUCAUAUUACCUAUAGGUGAGGAUGCCUAUAUUUUCGAUGACUUUGCAUUUUGGAUCUAGCGUUAAAAAUAACCUAGACAUUGAGUGAUGUAACUACUCGAUAUUUGGACUACAUGGUUUUACAAGCACUUACUGAUACUAAGCGAGAAUAUAGAAAUAACAAGUAGUAUAGGCUGUGAAUAUUAAACGUGGCGGAGAAUCAUAAAUGUUAAAUCAAAGCGAUACGGAUACGGGAAAUGAAGACAGAAUACUGAUGCGAAACAAAGAGUUCUGAAAUGCAGCAUGCGAGAGCUGUAAUCUAUCUGAAAGUGCGAUAUUCACUUUCGCAUUUUGGCUGGGAUAUUUCAACAGUUGCAUCAAUCCUUUCAUCUAUGCAUGCAGCAGUCGGGAGCUCAGA